CAGAAGAAUCGCUUGAACGACUGAGGUACAGCAGCGCUGGAACUCGGGUGGAGGACGGCACCUCCCUUUCGGGAAACGGCAAUCGGGGCGGGCUCCCAGCCCCUCGCAGAAAGGGAGCAUUCCCAAUCCAACAUCAAAAUCUGCAGGCUGUGUCUCCACCAACUCCAAGCCCUCCAUCCUGGAGCUUUCCCCAGCUACAGCAGGGAGCGCAGCAGUAGACCUCGCUGCCAAUGCUGAGGUGACAGAUGAGUACCACUUUGGACGACUGAAGCCGUACCAUGAACCCAGCAAAGAAAAGAAAAUUCCUAUGGGACAUUGAGCCACCAGUGAUGCAGUUCUAGGGUCUGACGCUGAAGACAACAGUGAUCAGGCCAACAACCCAAACUAGGGAAGCCCAACAUCCAACUUGGGGUCAGAUAAAAAAGCUGUGUCAGGAUGCAGAAAAAAAAGUCCAGCAAGCCAUGCUGCCAGUAACAGGUGCUAACCUGACUGCAGCAAUGUUGGCUCUUAUUGCUAUUGCUGUGAGUAUAUCUCCAGCAUGUGCUCAUUCUGGAAAUUAUA
Choloepus didactylus (southern two-toed sloth) is the source of this 561-nucleotide long non-coding RNA. RefSeq lists it as uncharacterized. NCBI's taxonomy places the organism in Eukaryota, Metazoa, Chordata, Mammalia, Pilosa, Megalonychidae. The transcript has 3 exons. The record is from RefSeq and is a predicted model, not a curated record.